Non-coding RNA from Gossypium raimondii (Peruvian cotton), 114 nucleotides. Lineage: Eukaryota; Viridiplantae; Streptophyta; Magnoliopsida; Malvales; Malvaceae. The record is from Rfam.
GAGAGCACAAUACGAUGAAAGUUGUAAGUUGUGUUCUUGGGGGGGAGUUAUUGUCUAUCGUUGGCCUCUAUGGUAGAAUCAAUCAGUGGCCUGAGAGGCGGUGGUUUACCCUGU